GUCCACGCCCUAAACGAUCUUCACUAGCUUUUCGGAGUAUCGACCCUCUGAGAGGCGAAGCUAACGCGUUAAGUGAAGCGCCUGGGAAGUACGGCCGCAAGGCUAAAACUCAAAGGAAUAGACGGGGACUCGCACAAGCGGUGGAUUAUGUGGUUUAAUUCGUAGGUAAACGAAGAACCUUACCCAGGUUUGAAACCGAAAUGAAAGCUCUAAGAAACUAGAGCCCUCGCAAGACAUUUCGGCAGGUGAUGCAUGGCCGUCGU
This 263-nucleotide ribosomal RNA is filed under the name uncultured bacterium. RNAcentral's name for it is "partial 16S ribosomal RNA". It matches the Rfam family "Bacterial small subunit ribosomal RNA", at positions 793 to 1055 of the family's 1533-position model. The record is from RNAcentral.